This 398-nucleotide transfer-messenger RNA is filed under the name uncultured Prevotella sp. It matches the Rfam family "transfer-messenger RNA". From Rfam's summary of the family: Bacterial tmRNA, also known as 10Sa RNA or SsrA, is named for its dual tRNA and mRNA-like properties. Its role is to liberate the mRNA from a stalled ribosome. The record is from RNAcentral. Lineage: Bacteria; Pseudomonadati; Bacteroidota; Bacteroidia; Bacteroidales; Prevotellaceae.
GGGGUUGACUGGAUUUGACAGCGGGUAGAGAUGGUACGUAAGCACGCGGAGCGUCGGAUGUUGGCUCCUAAAUCUCAGCGUUCAAACAAUUAAUUGGCAACAAUCAGUAUGCUCUCGCUGCCUAAUCGAAGUAUAGUAGAUUACUGGCUUUAUUCCGCCACAAGGUGACGGAACGGGACGUCGCUCUAAGGAUGUUGUUCCGAAUCUGAAGGUUCAGCGGCGCAGGAAAAUCGGAAAUAGUCAUCGGAAAGCCUCGGUCUGGUGAUGAAAUUUUUGAGGCUAAGGCUGUAAUUGGUGGUUUGGGUCUUGUUGCAGCACGAAAAUGAAGUCCAAAAUAAGCGUGUAGAAAGCGUAUGGUUUCCCUGUUUGGACGAGGGUUCGACUCCCUCCAGCUCCAC